This 3075-nucleotide ribosomal RNA is filed under the name Triticum aestivum (bread wheat). RNAcentral describes it as "partial small subunit ribosomal RNA". The record is from RNAcentral. Lineage: Eukaryota; Viridiplantae; Streptophyta; Magnoliopsida; Poales; Poaceae.
AUGGCGACUCUUCGCCGAACGUGUUCUUUUUCCCUGUGUGCUUUCCCUCGGUGGUGUUGGAAACUUCCGGGUGCAUCAGAUAGAAAAAUGGUCGCAGGGAGUGCCCUGCCGUUAAUUGGAGGUACAGGAGAUGCGGACUGGCAACCAAGCAAGGACCUGGGUUCAUAUGACCUUUCGCCAGCAAGUCUUUCAGGAGAGGAGCUGGCAUUCGACAUGAACAGUGGUGCUAUUCAUGGAAGCUGGAGGGAUGCUGCCCCUGAUCGCAGUGGGAGUGCACCUCCUAGCAUGGAGGGGUCUUUGGCUGAACUUGGUCACCUCAUAGGCAAGCACAGUGGGAACCUUGAGGCCACAUUGAGGAACUUGAGCUCUGGAGCUGUCAGUUCAGAGUCGGAGCUAUGCUCUGAUCCGGCAUACUUGAAAUAUUAUGGCUGCAAGGUGAAUUUGAACCCAAGGCUUCCUGCACCGCUUGUCUCAAGAGAGAGCAGAAGGUUGAUGAACCGGUCUAGCAAAGCUGGAGAAUGGAGGCCAUUAUAUGAUCACAGCAGCAGUGACAGGUCCUUGACUCAUCGUUCUACUCUAUCAACGCACAAGGAGGAGCCUGAGGAUGACAGUUCAUCGAAGUUAGAUUCAAGCUCGGCAGAGGAUGCUGGAUGUCAUACUGACCAAAGCACAUCUAGCAUAGGGUGUCACAGCUCAAAACUUGUAGGCUUAAUGCAGGAAAACUUUCCUCGCAGCACUGAUUUGUACAAUAAUUCUUCUGGUCCUUCAAAUACCAAUUCUGGUGAUGAAGAAUCUGUCUGUUGCAUCAGCUCAUCAAUGAAUUCUCCACAUGCUAUUGUCAAGUCAUCAGAUUUGAAUGGAUUUCCAAUAGAUACCCCUCAACGGCCAUGUGGACCUAUUGGGAGUCCAGUGAGAAAUACACUUAGUAGCAACAGUCUCGCAGCUUCAUCUCCUUCGACUUCAUCCAGUUCUGUGAAUAAUAUCAUGGGCGCUUCUCAGCAGGGAAAUCCGAGUACUGAAAUUAAGUCUGGUGGUGCAGUGCGUGCCAUACUUAAUGGUGUGGACUCCAGUAUGAAAAACCUGAAUAUUAAUCUGGAUACCCAGGGUAGUGCACAUGUUAGGCAACAGCGGCAGAACAAUGUCUUAUUGCAGAAUAGCUCAUCACACUGUGAUCGUACUCAAAUGAUUCCCCAAGGCAUCAAUCUUCCUCAAGUUCCGUUUGUGAAUAACUUCUCUCAUGCUCAUAUGAAUCUAUAUUCUGGUGACAUUCAGUUGAUGUCCCAGCAUGGAAUGCCAACGCCUUUUUAUACACAGAGUCCGUAUUAUCAGAAUUCACAGUUACCUGGUGUCUUGAUGCCCCCAUAUGGAAUUGAUGGCCAUGGAUUGCCUAGUUCAUUCUUGCCACCUUUUAUGACUAACUUUGCUCCUCAGCUUCCUGUCAUGACACCUUUUGAUACUCCUCUUACUCCGACCUUUAGUGGUAGACUAGCUGGUUUUCCUUCAACAGGAAAUAUUGCUGUAGGAGCUGAAUUUUCGAACCCAUUUAAGAUUUAUGAGCAACCUGGGGUGACUAUGCCACCAUCUGUACCUGAUCUUAGCCUCAUUCAUUAUUUCCAGCAACCAUCUAUGUAUCACUAUGGUCUUGGAAAUCCAUAUGAUACGGUGAGGCCAAGUAGUAAUUUUGUAGGUAACUUUACUGCUCCUUUUGGUUCAGAAAAAGUUGUGCCAGGAAUCAUGCACCAGUCAGGACAGAAAGUUCAGUUUCCAAAUACUGGAGCUUGUAGCUCCUCUACAACCAGAAAACAAGGAAGUUAUGUUGGAAAUCAUCCAGGCACCUCACCUUACAUCAGUACACCAAUGCCAUAUCCUACAACUCCGGUGUCUCAUGGCCAACCUUCAUCAGGAACAUAUCCUUGUGACAGGAGAAAUGGUGUACCGGGAUUCCAGUCCCCAUCAAAAACUAUGGGCAUUAGUCAUGGGAUUCAAGGGCAGCGAGAGGGGGAGAAAUCAGAUCCCAGUCCACACUGUUCUGUUGGUGAAGUUAGGUCCAACAAAGCCCACAUGGUUGAGUUAUCUGACAUCAAAGGCCAUAUAGCGGAAUACAGCUCUGACCAAAAUGGCAGUCGAUUCAUUCAGCAGAAGCUGGAGAAUGGCAGCACUGAAGACAAGGCCUUAGUGUUUGCUGAAAUCCUUCCUCAUGCUUCAUCGUUGAUGACUGAUGUAUUUGGAAAUUAUGUGAUCCAAAAGAUGUUUGAACAUGGGGACUGUAAGCAGAGAAGAGACCUUGCCAAAAAGCUUGCUGGUCAUGUGUUAACUUUGAGCCUUCAGAUAUAUGGUUGCCGAGUAUUUCAGAAGGCCCUUGAAGCAAUUGAGCUUGAUCAAAAAAUAGAACUUGUUCGUGAGCUUGAUGGACAUGUUCUAGAAUGUGUUCGCGACCAAAAUGGGAAUCAUGUUAUACAGAAGUGUGUUGAGUGUGUCCCUGUGGAGCAUAUUGGCUUUGUGGUGUCGGCUUUUCAGGGACAAGUUGCCACCCUAGCCAUGCAUCCAUAUGGUUGUCGUGUUAUUCAGAGAAUCCUCGAGCAUUGCAGCAAUGGUUCAGAUGGUUUAAUAGAUGAAAUCUUGCAGUCCACUUGCAUCCUGGCACAAGAUCAGUAUGGAAAUUAUGUCACACAGCAUGUUUUGGAGAAAGGAAAAGCGCAUGAAAGGAGCCAAAUCAUCAGUAAAUUGGCUAGGCAGGUCGUGUCCAUGAGCCAAAACAAAUUUGCAUCUAAUGUCAUAGAGAAGUGUUUCCAACAUGGGGAUGUAGCAGAGCGGGAUCUUUUGAUCAAGAAGAUUCUGGAACAGACUGAGGGAAAUAAUUAUUUGCUGGUGAUGAUGAAGGACCAGUUUGCUAAUUAUGUGGUUCAGAAGAUACUUGAAACAUGCAAUGGACAACAGAGGGAUGCUCUUGUCAGUCGUAUGAAGGGUCACUUGCAAGCGCUGAGGAAGUACACCUACGGCAAGCAUAUCGCCAGCCGAAUCGAGCAGUUCUCUGGUGAUGGUGCUGCGCCGCCGGGCUCCCAGAAGAAAGCCUGA